CCUUUGUCAUCACAUGGGGUUCUCCGUGUGUGUCUUCCUUUAAGGACACCAGGCAUAUUGGAGUAGGGGCUCGCCCUACUCCAUUAUGGCCCAAUUUUAAUGAAUUAAGCCUGCAAUGAACCUAUUUCCAAAUAGGUCACAUUCUGAGGUGCCAAGAGUUAGAAUUUCACUGUAUCUUUUUUCAGGGGACACAGUUCAAUCCAUAAUAAGAUUCUAUUUUAAAAGCACCCAGGAGGUUCUGAUGCAGCCUGCACAGGUUCCCAAAGCAUGGUUCCCGUCCUGACUGCACAGAGUUCAUCAGGAGCUCUAGAGCAACUACGUGUAUGUGUGUGGAGGUAAAGGAUCUAUUAUUGAUUGUGUUCCUUACAUUCUUGUCUUUCUCCUGAGAAUUUUGUGAAGAUUAAUAUCUGUUAGAUAAUUUUAAGUUUGCCAAAUGCCUUGAGUUCCUUGGGGGAAGAGUUGCAUAAAGGUAAAUAAAUUAUGCAGCACCUGAAUUUGGUUGUUCAUCAUUUUUUAAAGUGUAUUUUAAUUAAGAUUUUAGCACUAUUUAAGUUGGAUGGGUGGGGAAAGGCCUUAAUCAUGCAAACAUGGUUAAGUAAGUAGGUAGGAGCAGCAUGUAGGCUGGAACCCAUGAAGGGAUAAAUGAAAGGACCUCUUCUGGACGUCAGUCAUUUCCCAGGGCACUUGCUAAGCUGAGGUGUCAGUUAAUAUCUCCUCCCAUGCUUAUUACAUGAUGCUGUUAAAGAAUCAGCACAUGCUCUGCCCCCUUUAAACCUUCUUACAGACUUUUGGAUUCCUGGAACCUUUCUAGUUUUCCAGAGUUAGCUGGAAACAGUUUUUUAAAAAAAUGAGUUUGGAGUUCUUGUGGCUCAGCAGGUUAAGGAUCUGACAUUGUCUCUAUGAGGUUGCUGGUUUGAUCCAUGACCUUGCUCAGUGGGUUAAGGAUCUGGUGUUGCCACAAGCUCUGGUGUAGGUCGCAGAUGCAGCUUGGAUCUGGUGUUGCUCUGGCUGUGGCGUAGGCCUCAGCUGCAGCCCUGCUUUGACCCCUGGCCUGGGAACUUCCAUAUCCUGCAACUGUGGCUGUUUGAGCGAAAAAAAAAAAUAGAGUGUCUCACUCUCUAGGGACUCAGGGAAUAAGACUCCUGCUGACAAACUAUGCUGACUUUUGGUGUGCUGUGCUUGUACAGCCCAAGCAGCCGGCUUCUAGACUGCCUCCUUCUGCCUAUUGCACAGAGCUUUGUGUUCCAUGUGUGACACCGUCCCAAAACCACUGAAGAGUGGAGAUAAGAAACAGUUGCCAACACCCCAAGGUCCAGUCCUUCCUCCUUUGGUUUGCUGUGUUGUCAGAGUUCACCUGUAAUUUUGUUUUUGGCUUUGUUGCUCUGUGAGCAAAGAAUCACUUGAUCCUCAUUCCCAUGGCUGACCCCAAACUUGUAACCUUUUUCAGUUCAUUCACCCUAUCUAUUAAGUACCUAAUAGCUGCUAAGUCUUAGGCACUUGAGAAUUACACAGAGUUCUUGAUGCCGUGUAGCUGUCUAGUGGAGGACGAAAACAUUAAAAAAAAGUCAAGAUCAGUAGCGAAGUAGCUAUAAUUAGAUGGGGUAAAAAGAAAGAUCGCAGGUUCUUAGAGAAUAUGUAACUAGGGAACCUAUCUCUCUAGGUUUCUUAAAGAGUGACACUACAGGAUUUCCUGUCAUGGCUCAGCAGUUAACAAACCCGACUAGCAUCCAUGAGGACACGGGAUUGAUCCCGGGCCUCACUCAGUUGGUUAAGGAUCUGGCGUUGCUGUGAGCUGUGGUGCAGGUUGCAGACGUGGAUUGGAUCUCGAGUUUCUGUAGCUGUGGUUAGGCCGGCAGCUACAGCUCUGAUUCAGCCCCUAGCCUGGGAACCUGGGAACCUCCAUAUGCCCAGGCAUGGCCCUAAAAAGACAAAAAGACCAAAAAAAAAAAAAAAAAA
This 1956-nucleotide long non-coding RNA is filed under the name Sus scrofa (pig). Its description in RNAcentral is "lncRNA (ENSSSCG00030069938.1)". Lineage: Eukaryota; Metazoa; Chordata; Mammalia; Artiodactyla; Suidae. The record is from RNAcentral.